CCUACGGGAGGCAGCAGUGAGGAAUAUUGGUCAAUGGACGAGAGUCUGAACCAGCCAAGUAGCGUGAAGGAUGACUGCCCGAUGGGUUGUAAACUUCUUGUAUAUGGGAAUAAAAUGUGCCACGUGUGGGAUUUUGUAUGUACCAUAUGAAUAAGGAUAGGCUAACUCCGUGCCAGCAGCCGCGGUAAUACGGAGGAUCCGAGCGUUAUCCGGAUUUAUUGGGUUUAAAGGGAGCGUAGGUGGAUUGUUAAGUCAGUGUUGAAAGUUUGCGGCUCCACCGUAAAAUUGCAGUUUAAACUUGCAGUCUUUAGUACAGUAGAGGUGGGCGGACUUCGUUGUGUCGCCG
Molecule: ribosomal RNA, 346 nt
Filed under: uncultured bacterium
Lineage: Bacteria
Description: partial 16S ribosomal RNA
Rfam family: Bacterial small subunit ribosomal RNA
Source: RNAcentral